This is an RNA transcript of Telopea speciosissima, 4299 nucleotides long. It is a transcript of the gene named polyadenylation and cleavage factor homolog 4-like, with no coding region annotated. Lineage: Eukaryota; Viridiplantae; Streptophyta; Magnoliopsida; Proteales; Proteaceae. The record is from RefSeq and is a predicted model, not a curated record. The transcript is spliced from 7 exons.
AUAUAAAUAAGGCGAGUGAACUCGCUCGAUUUUUCCAUUCAUUCUCUCCCAGGUUCAAUGGAGCCAACGAGCUUUGUCCACAUAGAAGCUCUCUUCUCUUCCCCGCUGCACUCGUUUCGAAUCGAAUGCCAUUCCUCUGUUCUCCAAAUUACGGAGCUCAACUACUCUUCCGAGGGCCCAAAUGCUCCUGUAUCGAUAGCCAUGCUUUUUGACUCUAUGUAAUCUACUGUAAUCGGAGAUUCUAGGGUUUCGGAUUCCUGAAAUCCGUUCCCGAUCAACUAUAGGUUAAAAAGUUUCAAUCUUUUUGUAUUAGUUUCAGUUUUCUUCUUUAUAUUUAUUAUAUACUUGUAACGCAAAGGGGGUUAGGGUUAGGGUUUUUGAGAAAUUUCCUUGUUUGCUACCCCCCACCCUCUUCGGGUUGUUUUGGAGAUGGAAAUGGAGGGUUCUCGUAGAUCCAUUGAUAGGUCGAGGGAACCAGGUUUAAAGAAACCUAGAUUGUCUGAGGAGAUCGAACGAGAUCGUAGUUUGAACGGCGUUGUCGAUCGUGAUCGAGCGUUUCAGCAGAGAGUCUCUACUGUUGGAAGCGGCCCCGGAGCUGGACCGUUACUUUCAAGGUUUAGAACGAACGAGAGGGACAGGAAUGUGGAGAGAGAUGAGUCUGUACGAGGAUCUUAUCAGCAGCAGCAAGAGCUUGUCAGUCAGUAUAAGACAGCUCUUGCAGAACUGACCUUCAAUUCAAAGCCCAUCAUCACUAACCUCACUAUUAUCGCGGGGGAGAAUCUCCAUGCUGCCAAGGGAAUCGCUGCCACUGUCUCUGCGAAUAUUCUUGAGGUACCCAGUGAGCAAAAGCUACCAUCUCUUUACCUUUUAGAUAGUAUUGUAAAGAACAUUGGGAGAGAUUACAUCAAACACUUUGCUGCCAGACUACCUGAGGUAUUCUGCAAGGCCUAUAGACAGGUUGAUUCUUCAAUUCAUUCUGGUAUGCGUCAUCUUUUUGGGACUUGGAAAGGUGUAUUUCCGCCUACAACUCUUCAGAAAAUAGAGAAAGAACUUGGUUUCCCACCUGCCGUGAAUGGCUCAUCUUCUGGCAUAACAGAAUCCAGGCCUGGUUCACAAUCACCACGCCCACCGCAUAGCAUUCAUGUGAAUCCCAAGUAUUUAGAGGCGAGGCAGCGCCUGCAACAGUCAAACAAGAACUCUCAGCGUCCCCAAAGAGAAGCAUUAAGUGAGCCUGUUCAUGAGAAGAACGCUGGUGCGGCUUAUGGAGAUUAUGAAUAUGGUUCUGAUCUUUCAAGGCAUCCAGACAUGGGACCAGAAAGUGGCAGUGAGAGGCUUACUGAGAGAGGACUUGACAAGACUUGGUAUGGAGCCAGAAACAGUGCUGACGCAGAUGUUAGCCUAAGCAAUGGGUUUGAUACACGACAUGGAUUUUCAAACUACCAAGUACCUAGAUCUACUCAAUCUGUUGCUCAGCUACAGCCAGCUCUGAGUACUGCAAACAGAAGUGGCAGAGGGAUAUCUAAGAAUUGGAAGAACUCUGAGGAAGAGGAGUACAUGUGGGAUGAUAUGAAUUUCAGAUUGAGAGAUCAUGGGGCUCCUGAUAGCUCAAGGAGAGAUGGUUGGACUCCAGAUGAUUCAGAAAAGCUGGAUGAAGAGCACCUUCUACAACCUCUGAGAGAACGUGAUAUUGGGAAUAAAGUUAAUAGAGAAACUUCCUCUGAUUCAAAAUCCAUGACAAAGAGAGGACAAGCAACAUUUGGGAAUCGAACAUCACCAGUGUGGUCAUUGCAAGAGCCACACCCAGUAGAUACCACCCAUACAGGCCAAACUUUAAAGGUUUCAGGUGGUUCAGCUUCUCUGAGUGGUUCAUCUUUCACUAGGGGGGCUGGGCUUCUUACUCAGAUGGUUCCAUCGUCGGGAUCUGCUGGAGUUUUAGGGCAACAAAGACAUCUUCUGGGAUCUGCAUCCCCAUCCAUCCAGUCUUCCAUUCUCCAGGAUUCUCAUUCACCUAUAUCUUUAACGCUUCAUCAGCAUCAGCAAUCACAUAAUUUGUCUGAGCAAGACCAUCCCCAUUCAGAGUCCAUUGCUCAGCCUGGUUCGAAAUCAUCUCAGCUUGCAGGAUCAUUGAGUCGUGUACCUAAAGAAUCUUCCCCCAUCCCUUUUAAUCAGCCUGGUACUCUGCAAAAUUUGCAGUUGAAUCAAUCACAGCCUCCCCCACAUCUACAAACUUCAUCUCCUUUAUUGCCUUUUCCUCAACUAAGGCCUCUUGCUCCCUGCCCACAGCCAGAGAAAUUGCCGUCUCAAAUAUCCGGUCAGUCCCAUAAGCUACUGCAUCAAAUCCCAAAUUUUGGAACUUUAACAACAAGCUCUUCUGUGCCUAGCCAUUCUAAUAGUUCCACUGUGGAGCAAACUGGAGAAUCAAACACUAGAAGUUUGUUGGAUGCAAUUUUUAAAAAGGGACUGCUUUCAAACAACAUAGCUAGUGGUGGUUUCCCCAACCUUAAUUUCCAGGAGUCAGGGUCGUUGCCAUCUAAUUUGAACAUACAGCCCCCUCUGCCAAGUGGUCCUCCCCCUAUCCAGCAUGCUGGGUCAUCUACUCCCAUGGUUUCACCAUCUUCUUUAGCUUCAGCUUCCCGGGGGAAUGCAUCAGCUGUAACGACACUCCCUCAGAGAUCAACUGUACGGCCUCCUCUGCCUCCUGGACCUCCACCUUCCUCAUCUAUUAUAGGUAGUACAUCAACACAGUCAUCAAGUGUAACCAGUGCUACUCCCAAUCCUCUUUCAAGUCUUUUGAAUUCAUUAGUCGCACGGGGCUUGAUAUCUGCAUCAACGACCGAGUCAUCAACUAUCACUGCUACCCAGGUGCCAAGUCAAAACCAAACCCUGAGCCCUGGUCCAAGUACCAGUAGCCCCAUGUCAGUAUCCUCGAGUCCAGCUGCUGCAACCAUCCCUUCAUGUCAGUAUCCUGGUCCAAGUACCAGUAGCUCCAUGUCAGUAUCCUCAAGUCCAGCUGCUGCAACCAUCCCUUUAUCUUCUGGGAAUGAACUUCCUUUUACAGAAUCUGGCGUGAAGAGCACAACUAGCUUGCCUCAAGCCACUACAAGUGAAUCAAAGGGUCUCAUAGGGAUGGAGUUUAAGCCAGAGAUUAUCCGGGAAUCACAUCCAUCAGUUAUCAGUGGUCUCUUUGAUGACCUUUCCUAUCAUUGCAAUAUCUGUGGUCUUCGGCUUAGACUUAAAGAAAGAUUUGAUAGACAUAUGGAGUGGCAUGCUUCAAAGAAGCCUGAACAAAGCAGUUCUAAUAUGGUUUCAAGGAGGUGGUAUGCAAAUCUGGGUGACUGGAUUGCAGGGAAUGUAGGGCAUCCAUCUGGAUCUACAUCCACUGCUUCAAUUGAAGUCUCAGAGAAGGCAUUGGAGGAGAGCGAACAGGCAGUAACUGCUGAUGAAAGCCAGUGUGUGUGUGUCUUGUGUGGAGAGCUGUUUGAGGAUUUCUACAAUCACGAAAGAGACGUAUGGAUGUUCAAGGGGGCGGUGUAUAUGACCAUCCCACCUGGGGACGAUAAUGGAGGAACUACUGGUGGGAGUGCUGUCCAGGGUCCUAUUGUGCAUGCAAGCUGUGUUUCACGAAUUUCUGUUUUAUGACUUGUAGAUCUCAGCCAGAUUUUCGACUUGAUUGGAUAAGCUUAAUCCAUCUACCUCUAUACUUUCAUCUGGAUCUGUAAUGCUCCUGUUAUUUCCCUAAGAGUGAAUGGAGUUGUUUGAUCUUCUUGAUGAGUCCCAUUGCAAACAGAGGAUCCUGAUCCUCUGCAUGUCUUAACCAUCAAGCUGGUAGUUCUGGGCUGAAGGAAAAGGCAAAUGAAUGAUGCUUUGAAGUUUUAAAUCCACACCGUUCAUUGUAUUAAGGGUAAUGAUGAAUGAACUGACACAGGAUAUGCAGUUUUACCCUUAGUCAUCAGGCUAAUUUGCUGGUGCUUGAAAAUGGGAUUGUGGGCUGAGCAGCGCCCCACUUGAUAUGUUUUCUUUUCCUUAUCAUUUCUUUUUCAAAGGAAAUAUAUAAAAUACAAAUCCAUAGAUAUUUUGCUGAUUUUGGUCAUUGUAUUUCUUCUCUGAUGUGGGUUUUGUGUAUUGCUCCUUGAAAUCUCCUUCCUUCUUCAAGCUGGCUUAAGUAGAAUUGUGAUUAAUUCCGGCACACGAUGUAGCUACCAAAGAAUCCCAUCCUGUGUAAUAAGUUCUGCAGUAUGGGUACAUCACAUUUUCGCCUUGAAGCAGAUGAGAAUGUAGAAAUCGGUUGCUUUUGUUUUU